AGCCUUAGCGCCCCCUGGUGGCCCCUACUUUGAAGAACUCUGCGCUAAAUAACCUUCAUGAGGCAAGCCACAAGAGAAGCGUUGGUGAUGGUUUAGAUAUUGUCCUGCAUUUCUCCUCCCAUCUGUUUCCAACAUGCUGGUGAGCCGAGACGAACCGACCCGGCCAAGAAAUGUCACUGAUGUGUUUGAAAAUUCAUUGCCUCACAUCUCAUCAGUAAUGAAGUGUUUGAAACAACUAGAAGCGAGCGUGGAAAAGAAGAGGAACAGACGAGAUCCAGAGGAUUCGUGACAAAUCCUCUGCAUGUUUCUAAUGGCUCAAAAAGUCACACACCACUUUUGUCUGGUCAUUAAUAAAGUUAAAAGCCUCCAAAACGCUUGUUUUUUUAAAGUGACAUCUGGUCCCUCCUCAUUUAGAGGGUGGCAAUGACAAAAUCACAUCUGGGCAUGCUCAGAUUGUGAAAAACACAGACCUCUUUAAGUCACUUAUGCUUUGAUUUUAUUUUAAAAUGUGUUUUUUUUUUUUUUUUUUUUAAACAUCCAAUAAACUCUGUACCUUGAGGUUUUACA
This is a long non-coding RNA of Poecilia latipinna (sailfin molly), 567 nucleotides long. RefSeq lists it as uncharacterized. Lineage: Eukaryota; Metazoa; Chordata; Actinopteri; Cyprinodontiformes; Poeciliidae. The transcript has 2 exons. The record is from RefSeq and is a predicted model, not a curated record.